GACGAACGCUGGCGGCGUGCUUAACACAUGCAAGUCGAACGGUGAAGCGCCUUCCUUUUUGGUGGGUGUGGAUGAGUGGCGAACGGGUGAGUAACACGUGAGUAACCUGCCCCCUUCUUCUGGAUAACCGCAUGAAAGUGUGGCUAAUACGGGAUAUUCUGGGUCUGUCGCAUGAUGGGUCUGGGAAAGAUAUUGUUUCGGUGGGGGAUGGGCUCGCGGCCUAUCAGCUUGUUGGUGGGGUGAUGGCCUACCAAGGCGGUGACGGGUAGCCGGCCUGAGAGGGUGGACGGUCACACUGGGACUGAGACACGGCCCAGACUCCUACGGGAGGCAGCAGUGGGGAAUAUUGCACAAUGGGCGCAAGCCUGAUGCAGCGACGCCGCGUGAGGGAUGGAGGCCUUCGGGUUGUGAACCUCUUUCGCCAGUGAAGCAGGCCUGCCUCAUUUGUGGGUGGGUUGACGGUAGCUGGAUAAGAAGCGCCGGCUAACUACGUG
This 494-nucleotide ribosomal RNA is filed under the name uncultured bacterium. Its description in RNAcentral is "partial 16S ribosomal RNA". It matches the Rfam family "Bacterial small subunit ribosomal RNA", at positions 28 to 507 of the family's 1533-position model. The record is from RNAcentral.